Molecule: transfer RNA, 73 nt
Filed under: Bos taurus (domestic cattle)
Lineage: Eukaryota; Metazoa; Chordata; Mammalia; Artiodactyla; Bovidae
Also listed under: 5 other names
Rfam family: tRNA
About the family: Transfer RNA (tRNA) molecules are approximately 80 nucleotides in length.
Source: Rfam by way of RNAcentral
UCCCUGGUGGUCCAGUGGUUAGGACUCCACACUUUCACUGCUGAGGGACUGGGCUCCAUCCCUGGUCAAGGAA